AUUGAACGCUGGCGGCAGGCCUAACACAUGCAAGUCGAACGGUAGCACAGAGAGCUUGCUCUCGGGUGACGAGUGGCGGACGGGUGAGUAACGUCUGGGAAACUGCCCGAUGGAGGGGGAUAACUACUGGAAACGGUAGCUAAUACCGCAUAACGUCGCAAGACCAAAGUGGGGGACUUUCGGGCCUCUCACUAUCGGAUGAACCCAGAUGGGAUUAGCUAGUAGGCGGGGUAACGGCCCACCUAGGCGACGAUCCCUAGCUGGGCUGAGAGGAUGAACAGCCACACUGGAACUGAGACACGGUCCAGACUCCUACGGGAGGCAGCAGUGGGGAAUAUUGCACAAUGGGCGCAAGCCUGAUGCAGCCAUGCCGCGUGUAUGAAGACGGCCUUCGGGUUGUAAAGUACUUUCAGCGGGGAGGAAGGCGAUGUGGUUAAUAACCGCGUCGAUUGACGUUACCCGCAGAAGAAGCACCGGCUAACUCCGUGCCAGCCGCCGCAGUAA
RNAcentral lists this ribosomal RNA (504 nucleotides) under uncultured bacterium. RNAcentral describes it as "partial 16S ribosomal RNA". It matches the Rfam family "Bacterial small subunit ribosomal RNA", at positions 29 to 523 of the family's 1533-position model. The record is from RNAcentral.